RNAcentral lists this ribosomal RNA (509 nucleotides) under Listeria monocytogenes. RNAcentral's name for it is "bacterial SSU rRNA". It matches the Rfam family "Bacterial small subunit ribosomal RNA", at positions 920 to 1428 of the family's 1533-position model. The record is from RNAcentral. Lineage: Bacteria; Bacillati; Bacillota; Bacilli; Caryophanales; Listeriaceae.
CCCGCACAAGCGGUGGAGCAUGUGGUUUAAUUCGAAGCAACGCGAAGAACCUUACCAAAUCUUGACAUCCUUUGACCGCUCUAGAGAUAGAGUCUUCCCCUUCGGGGGACAAAGUGACAGGUGGUGCAUGGUUGUCGUCAGCUCGUGUCGUGAGAUGUUGGGUUAAGUCCCGCAACGAGCGCAACCCUUAAGCUUAGUUGCCAUCAUUAAGUUGGGCACUCUAAGUUGACUGCCGGUGACAAACCGGAGGAAGGUGGGGAUGACGUCAAAUCAUCAUGCCCCUUAUGAUUUGGGCUACACACGUGCUACAAUGGACAAUACAAAGGGCAGCUAAACCGCGAGGUCAAGCAAAUCCCAUAAAGUUGUUCUCAGUUCGGAUUGUAGUCUGCAACUCGACUACAUGAAGCUGGAAUCGCUAGUAAUCGUAGAUCAGCAUGCUACGGUGAAUACGUUCCCGGGUCUUGUACACACCGCCCGUCACACCACGAGAGUUUGUAACACCCGAAGCC